AGCGAACGCUGGCGGCAGGCCUAACACAUGCAAGUCGAACGAAGUCUUCGGACUUAGUGGCGGACGGGUGAGUAACACGUGGGAACGUGCCCUUUGGUACGGAAUAACUCAGGGAAACUUGAGCUAAUACCGUAUGUGCCCUUCGGGGGAAAGAUUUAUCGCCAUUGGAGCGGCCCGCGUCUGAUUAGCUAGUUGGUGGUGUAAUGGACCACCAAGGCGACGAUCAGUAGCUGGUCUGAGAGGAUGAUCAGCCACAUUGGGACUGAGACACGGCCCAAACUCCUACGGGAGGCAGCAGUGGGGAAUCUUGCGCAAUGGGCGAAAGCCUGACGCAGCCAUGCCGCGUGAAUGAUGAAGGUCUUAGGAUUGUAAAAUUCUUUCACCGGGGACGAUAAUGACGGUACCCGGAGAAGAAGCCCCGGCUAACUUCGUGCCAGCCGCCGCCGUAA
RNAcentral lists this ribosomal RNA (449 nucleotides) under uncultured bacterium. RNAcentral describes it as "partial 16S ribosomal RNA". It matches the Rfam family "Bacterial small subunit ribosomal RNA", at positions 29 to 523 of the family's 1533-position model. The record is from RNAcentral.